CUAAAGCCCUUGGUUUGCCUCUAAUUCCCACUCCUGUAACUUCUGCUGGCACCCUUUGGAUUCACAAGUGUGACUGUCAUCACCCUCCCCCUCACUUUCCCCGUAUGUGCUCCUGUCAUAUCCCACCUGUCUCUCAGAAAGAACAGCACAGGGUAACGGCAAGGUAGAACCAGAACCCACCGUAUACUUAAUUACGUUUUUAAAUUUUGGGAACCCCACACGUUCUCCACUGAUCACAAGAGAUAUCUCUUCUACUCUCUCAGACAUCCAUGCUAUCGAGGUUUUGUUGGGACAAAUGAGAGGUGACCCUGAAAAAACAUUUAUAUCAUAAACCCUAACAAGUAACAAGCGUGGUGUGUGGGAAGCCUUAGAGCACUGCCGAAGGAAUAUACUGAGGAGUUCAAAUGUAGAAAACAU
Molecule: non-coding RNA, 417 nt
Organism: Vicia faba (fava bean)
Lineage: Eukaryota; Viridiplantae; Streptophyta; Magnoliopsida; Fabales; Fabaceae
Source: the annotation of a GenBank genome assembly